This 262-nucleotide ribosomal RNA is filed under the name uncultured bacterium. Its description in RNAcentral is "partial 16S ribosomal RNA". It matches the Rfam family "Bacterial small subunit ribosomal RNA", at positions 91 to 354 of the family's 1533-position model. The record is from RNAcentral.
CUUAGUGGCGGACGGGUGAGUAACGCGUGGGCAACCUGCCCUGUACCGGGGGAUAACACUUAGAAAUAGGUGCUAAUACCGCAUAAUAAGGAAGACCGCAUGGUGAUCCUUUGAAAACUCCGGUGGUACAGGAUGGGCCCGCGUCUGAUUAGCCAGUUGGCGGGGUAACGGCCCACCAAAGCGACGAUCAGCAGCCAGCCUGAGAGGGUGGACGGCCACACUGGGACUGAGACACGGCCCAGACUCCUACGGGAGGCAGCAG